CAGGAGGUAGUUUAAUUAAAAUAAGGACUUUGGGAGUCUUUGAUGGUGGUCAUUAUCCUUCCUGA
This 65-nucleotide transfer RNA is filed under the name Allopsontus sp. 1 JZ-2014. RNAcentral's name for it is "tRNA-Pro". The record is from RNAcentral. Lineage: Eukaryota; Metazoa; Arthropoda; Insecta; Archaeognatha; Machilidae.